Micropterus dolomieu (smallmouth bass) is the source of this 741-nucleotide long non-coding RNA. RefSeq lists it as uncharacterized. The transcript is spliced from 3 exons. The record is from RefSeq and is a predicted model, not a curated record. Lineage: Eukaryota; Metazoa; Chordata; Actinopteri; Centrarchiformes; Centrarchidae.
UCUACUCUGAGCUCCUCAUGGAUGGCCGAGCUUCUCAUCCUUUCUCUAAGGGAGACACCAGCCACCUGCCUGAGGAAACCCGCGAUCUUGUUCUUUCGGUCAUGACGCAGCCUUCAUGACCAUAGCUUUCCAUUCAUACUUUCAUCAGCCGAUUUUACUCAUGGAGCCGGCUGCUUCCAUCAGAUGCAGACUAAACACAGGAAUGACCAGCCACAAGGAAGAUGCAAGACGAAGCAGCCUCUAACCAUCAAGAUGCAAGGAAAAGACGCAAGUGAGGGAAACGUGGAUGCAAUUAAGACACUUGAGAAGCACCCACUGUCGCUCCUUUCACUUCUCUACAAGUCAUGAGGGGAAACUAUCUGAUAAAUGAGGAACAACAGACCUGGAAAACAGAACUAAAUGUGGACAACAUGGACCAAAACAAUAAAAACACAACUCCAAGUUUCCAAAUGUAAGAAUAUUUAUUUUUCCCCCAUAAUACACUUGAGUUGAAAACUUAAGAACUAUAGAGUACCAAGUGUUUUCCUGCACAUACAUUUGUCUUUGAGUUUGUUAUUAAAGGCACAUUAUUAACAAUAACCAUCAGCUGUUGCUGAGAUUGAACUUCAUUCAGAAAAGUGUUUGUUCCUUAUUCCACAGGUCUGGUCUUUUUUGUUCGACUUUCAGCUUUCAGCUUAAAUCAAAUAAAUCUCACAUAGGCCAUAGCCUUUGGAUAUCAUUAGCUUUUAGCAAGGACACACU